CCUACGGGUGGCAACAGUGGGGAAUAUUGGACAAUGGGGGGAACCCUGAUCCAGCCAUGCCGCGUGUGUGAAGAAGGCCCUCGGGUUGUAAAGCACUUUCAGUGAGGAAGAACGCCUGGUGGUUAAUACCCAUCAGGAAAGACAUCACUCACAGAAGAAGCACCGGCUAACUCCGUGCCAGCAGCCGCGGUAAUACGGAGGGUGCGAGCGUUAAUCGGAAUUACUGGGCGUAAAGCGCGCGUAGGUGGCUUGAUAAGCCGGUUGUGAAAGCCCCGGGCUCAACCUGGGAACGGCAUCCGGAACUGUCAAGCUAGAGUGCAGGAGAGGAAGGUAGAAUUCCCGGUGUAGCGGUGAAAUGCGUAGAGAUCGGGAGGAAUACCAGUGGCGAAGGCGGCCUUCUGGACUGACACUGACACUGAGGUGCGAAAGCGUGGGUAGCAAACAGGAUUAGAUACCCUUGUAGUC
This 465-nucleotide ribosomal RNA is filed under the name Vreelandella stevensii. RNAcentral describes it as "partial 16S ribosomal RNA". It matches the Rfam family "Bacterial small subunit ribosomal RNA", at positions 338 to 795 of the family's 1533-position model. Lineage: Bacteria; Pseudomonadati; Pseudomonadota; Gammaproteobacteria; Oceanospirillales; Halomonadaceae. The record is from RNAcentral.